Molecule: ribosomal RNA, 468 nt
Filed under: uncultured bacterium
Lineage: Bacteria
Description: partial 16S ribosomal RNA
Rfam family: Bacterial small subunit ribosomal RNA
Source: RNAcentral
GACGAACGCUGGCGGCGUGCUUAACACAUGCAAGUCGAACGGAAAGGCCCUGCUUUUGUGGGGUGCUCGAGUGGCGAACGGGUGAGUAACACGUGAGUAACCUGCCCUUGACUUUGGGAUAACUUCAGGAAACUGGGGCUAAUACCGGAUAGGAGCUCCUGCUGCAUGGUGGGGGUUGGAAAGUUUCGGCGGUUGGGGAUGGACUCGCGGGUUAUCAGCUUGUUGGUGUGGUAGUGGCUUACCAAGGCUUUGACGGGUAGCCGGCCUGAGAGGGUGACCGGCCACAUUGGGACUGAGAUACGGCCCAGACUCCUACGGGAGGCAGCAGUGGGGAAUAUUGCACAAUGGGCGGAAGCCUGAUGCAGCAACGCCGCGUGCGGGAUGACGGCCUUCGGGUUGUAAACCGCUUUCGCCUGUGACGAAGCGUGAGUGACGGUAAUGGGUAAAGAAGCACCGGCUAACUACGUG